Molecule: ribosomal RNA, 497 nt
Filed under: uncultured bacterium
Lineage: Bacteria
Description: partial 16S ribosomal RNA
Rfam family: Bacterial small subunit ribosomal RNA
Source: RNAcentral
GACGAACGCUGGCGGCGUGCCUAAUACACGCAAGUUGAGCGCUGAAGGUUGGUACUUGUACCAACUGGAUGAGCAGCGAACGGGUGAGUAACGCGUGGGGAAUCUGCCUUUGAGCGGGGGACAACAUUUGGAAACGAAUGCUAAUACCGCAUAAAAACUUUAAACACAAGUUUUAAGUUUGAAAGAUGCAAUUGCAUCACUCAAAGAUGAUCCCGCGUUGUAUUAGCUAGUUGGUGAGGUAAAGGCUCACCAAGGCGAUGAUACAUAGCCGACCUGAGAGGGUGAUAGGCCACAUUGGGACUGAGACACGGCCCAAACUCCUACGGGAGGCAGCAGUAGGGAAUCUUCGGCAAUGGACGAAAGUCUGACCGAGCAACGCCGCGGGAGUGAAGAAGGUUUUCGGAUCGUAAAACUCUGUUGGUAGAGAAGAACGUUGGUGAGAGUGGAAAGCUCAUCAAGUGACGGUAACUACCCAGAAAGGGACGGCUAACUACGUG